GAGGGUAUAGCUCAGUGGAACAGUGCGUGCUUAGCAUGCAUGAGGUCGUGAGUUCAAUCCCCAGUACCUCCA
Molecule: transfer RNA, 72 nt
Filed under: Camelus dromedarius (Arabian camel)
Lineage: Eukaryota; Metazoa; Chordata; Mammalia; Artiodactyla; Camelidae
Also listed under: 1 other name
Rfam family: tRNA
About the family: Transfer RNA (tRNA) molecules are approximately 80 nucleotides in length.
Source: Rfam by way of RNAcentral